AUUGAACGCUGGCGGCAGGCUUAACACAUGCAAGUCGAGCGGGGGAAGGUAGCCUGCUACUGGACCUAGCGGCGGACGGGUGAGUAAUGCUUAGGAAUCUGCCUAUUAGUGGGGGACAACAUCUCGAAAGGGAUGCUAAUACCGCAUACGUCCUACGGGAGAAAGCAGGGGAUCUUCGGACCUUGCGCUAAUAGAUGAGCCUAAGUCGGAUGAGCUAGUUGGUGGGGUAAAGGCCUACCAAGGCGACGAUCUGUAGCGGGUCUGAGAGGAUGAUCCGCCACACUGGGACUGAGACACGGCCCAGACUCCUACGGGAGGCAGCAGUGGGGAAUAUUGGACAAUGGGGGAAACCCUGAUCCAGCCAUGCCGCGUGUGUGAAGAAGGCCUUAUGGUUGUAAAGCACUUUAAGCGAGGAGGAGGCUACUCUAGUUAAUACCUAGGGAUAGUGGACGUUACUCGCAGAAUAAGCACCGGCUAACUCUGUGCCAGCCGCCGCGGUAA
RNAcentral lists this ribosomal RNA (501 nucleotides) under uncultured bacterium. RNAcentral describes it as "partial 16S ribosomal RNA". It matches the Rfam family "Bacterial small subunit ribosomal RNA", at positions 30 to 523 of the family's 1533-position model. The record is from RNAcentral.